AACGAACGCUGGCGGCAUGCCUAACACAUGCAAGUCGAACGAGACCUUCGGGUCUAGUGGCGCACGGGGGCGUAACGGGUUGGAACCUGCCCUUAGGUUCGGAAUAACUCCCCGAAAGGGGUGCUAAUACCGGAGAAUGUCUUCGGACCGAAGGUUUAUCGCCUUUGGAUGGGCCCGCGUUGGAUUAGCUAGUUGUUAGGGUAAAAGCCUACCAAGGGUACGAUCCAUAACUGGUAUGAGAGGAAGAUCAGCGACACUGGGACUGAGACACGGCCCAGAAUACUACGGGAGGGAGCAGUGGGGAAUAUAGGAAAACGGGCGAAAGGAUGAUCCAGCACUGACGCGUGAGUGAUGAAGGCCUUAGGGUUGUAAAGUUAUUUUACCCGGGAUGAUAAUGACAGUACCGGGAGAAUAAGCACCGGCUAACUCCGUG
This 433-nucleotide ribosomal RNA is filed under the name uncultured bacterium. RNAcentral describes it as "partial 16S ribosomal RNA". It matches the Rfam family "Bacterial small subunit ribosomal RNA", at positions 29 to 507 of the family's 1533-position model. The record is from RNAcentral.